AACUUUCGAUGGUAGGAUAGAGGCCUACCAUGGUGGUAACGGGUAACGGGGUGUUAGGGCACGACACCGGAARAGGGAGCCUGGARAAACGGCUACCACAUCCAAGGGAAGGCAGCAGCGCGCGCAAAUUACCCAAUCCCGACACGGGGAGGUAUAGUGACAAUAAAUAACAAUACAGGGUUCUUUUGGAUCUUGUAAUUGGAAUGAGUACAAUUUAAAUCUCUUAACGAGGAACAAUUGGAGGGCAAGUCUGGUGCCAGCAGCCGCGGUAAUUCCAGCUCCAAUAGCGUAUAUUAAAGUUGUUGCAGUUAAAAAGCUCGUAGUUGAAUUUCGGGAUCAAUAUUUCGGUCAUGCCGUUGGUAUGCACUGUUAUCAUUGAUUUCUCACCUUCUAAAGAACCGUAAUGCCAUUAAUUUGGUGUUACGGGGAAUUAGGACUGUUACCUUGAAAAAAAUUAGAGUGUUUAAAGCAGGCUCACGCUUGAAUACAUUAGCAUGGAAUAAUGAAAUAGGACAUCCGAUUCUAUUUUGUUGGUUUCUAGGAUCGAUGUAAUGAUUAAUAGGGAUAGUUGGGGGCAUUAGUAUUCAAUUGUCAGAGGUGAAAUUCUUGGAUUUAUUGAAGACUAACUACUGCGAAAGCAUUUGCCAAGGAUGUUUUCAUUAAUCAAGAACGAAAGUUAGGGGAUCGAAGACGAUCAGAUACCGUCGUAGUCUUAACCCAUAAAACUAUGCCGAACUAGGGAUCGGAWGAWGUUAAUUUUUUAAUGACUCAUUCGGCGCCUUACGGGAAACCAAAGUGUUUGGG
This 804-nucleotide ribosomal RNA is filed under the name uncultured Funneliformis. Its description in RNAcentral is "SSU rRNA". It matches the Rfam family "Eukaryotic small subunit ribosomal RNA", at positions 319 to 1122 of the family's 1831-position model. Lineage: Eukaryota; Fungi; Glomeromycota; Glomeromycetes; Glomerales; Glomeraceae. The record is from RNAcentral.